RNAcentral lists this unclassified non-coding RNA (383 nucleotides) under uncultured fungus. RNAcentral describes it as "partial contains small subunit ribosomal RNA, internal transcribed spacer 1, and 5.8S ribosomal RNA". The stretch from base 1 to 73 matches the Rfam family "Eukaryotic small subunit ribosomal RNA", at positions 1759 to 1831 of the family's 1831-position model. Lineage: Eukaryota; Fungi. The record is from RNAcentral.
UCAAACUUGGUCAUUUAGAGGAAGUAAAAGUCGUAACAAGGUUUCCGUAGGUGAACCUGCGGAAGGAUCAUUGAUGGAUAAAAUUUUCCCAAGCCUUUUUUUGGGGGGAAAAGUUAAUUAAGCUUUUCUUCCCUUUUUCUGGCUUGCAAACAACUUUGAUACCCAAAAAGAGUUUCAUCUUUGAGUUCCUGCCUUUUCCAGGUUUAUUUGCUUGGAUAGUUGGAAUGUUGAAGAUACCAGGAUCAGAUCAGGGGGAGACCCUUGGUUCUGGAAUGGUGUAACCUAUGUGGAUGCCUGAUAAAAGAACAAGAGUUUUUGGAUUUGGGAAUGAAACAACUUUCAACAACGGAUCUCUUGGCUCUCACAUCGAUGAAGAACGCAGC